AAGAAUUUAUGAUACAACGUAACAUGUUUGCCUUUCUUGAAGAUGCACAUAAUCGCAGGAGCACUAGUAAUAAAUCAAAUAAAUGUUUACUGGUUCAUUCAAUCUUUUAGGGAAUUUCAGCCACUUGCCAUCAUUUGAGUGACACAUAUAAGAAACAUCAAAGUUCACAUUUAUGCUGUAACAUGAUGAACCACCAUGAAGAUUUAUUGAACUUAUGAGUUUGUUAAUUUAUAGCAACCACACGGGUCUCCCAAAAAAUUAUU
Molecule: unclassified non-coding RNA, 263 nt
Filed under: Hevea brasiliensis (rubber tree)
Lineage: Eukaryota; Viridiplantae; Streptophyta; Magnoliopsida; Malpighiales; Euphorbiaceae
Source: RNAcentral